UACGGAGGGGGCGAGUGUUACUCAUGAUAAUUGGGCGUAAAGGGUAUGUAGGCGGUUUUUUAAGUUAGAAGUAAAAUCUUUUGGGAUACCAAAAAGUAAGUCUAAAACUGAAAAGCUAGAGUUAAAUAGGGAAAAGUGGUACGGGUAGUGGAAAGGUAAAAUUUUUAGAUAUUACAUGGACUAACGUUAGGCGAAGGCAACUUUUUAUGUUUAACUGACGCUGAGGUACGAAAGCAUAGGGAGCAAACAGG
Molecule: ribosomal RNA, 251 nt
Filed under: uncultured bacterium
Lineage: Bacteria
Description: partial 16S ribosomal RNA
Rfam family: Bacterial small subunit ribosomal RNA
Source: RNAcentral